AUUGAACGCUGGCGGCAUGCCUAACACAUGCAAGUCGAACGGCAGCACGGCAGUAGCAAUACUGUGGGUGGCGAGUGGCGGACGGGUGAGGAAUACGUCGGAAUCUGCCCAGUCGUGGGGGAUAACUAGCCGAAAGGUUAGCUAAAUACCGCAUACGACCGAGAGGUGAAAGCGGGGGACCGCAAGGCCUCGCGCGAUUGGAUGAGCCGACGUCGGAUUAGCUAGUUGGUGGGUAAAGGCCCACCAAGGCGACGAUCCGUAGCUGGUCUGAGAGGAUGAUCAGCCACACUGGAACUGAGACACGGUCCAGACUCCUACGGGAGGCAGCAGUGGGGAAUAUUGGACAAUGGGCGCAAGCCUGAUCCAGCAAUGCCGCGUGUGUGAAGAAGGCCUCGG
Molecule: ribosomal RNA, 396 nt
Filed under: uncultured bacterium
Lineage: Bacteria
Description: bacterial SSU rRNA
Rfam family: Bacterial small subunit ribosomal RNA
Source: RNAcentral